Molecule: long non-coding RNA, 1099 nt
Filed under: Cottoperca gobio
Lineage: Eukaryota; Metazoa; Chordata; Actinopteri; Perciformes; Bovichtidae
Description: lncRNA (ENSCGOG00000010157.1)
Source: RNAcentral
AUGAGUGAAAAGCGGCACGUCUAUAACUACACCAAACACAUCCCUCUGCUGUGGAUGGAGAAAGCUAUAGAGGCCACAGUCACACAGAAAAAAGCCAGAGGGAGGAAAAAAAUGAGGACGAAAAAUAGAAACACAGACAGAAGAACGAGUGCGGGGGUCUCUUAUGCUUUUCUACAGAGAAUCCGCUUCUGUCUACAACACAAUACAGCACGAAGAGACGUCUCAGUCUUUUCCUCUUUCAAAAUAAAAGCAAAAACUUACUCUGUGUGUAUUUUUACUGUACAUAUUUACACACGCACAAACAAACGGAGGGGAGGAGGAGCAGGGCGGGGUCAGGUGGUUGAGUUCAUGUCAUGGGUUAUGGGCUAUAACUGGUGAUACAAUAUGGGUUACCUAUAUUGGAGAGAAAGCAUCUAAGCCUACAGAAGGAAUUAAAAUCACUGCCCCCUCGCAUGCUUUUCCUCUCAGAUCUGACUUCUGUUCUUCUCGUCUUUUCAGUAGGAGGAGGUUGCCGAUAAACAGGGUUGUCUCAUGCAUACAGUGUUGGAGUUUCUACAGUGAUUCACGUGCGUCAAAAUGAUCCAACAAAUCCAGAGAUGCAGUGUGAUACGAUGACCUGCUCCUGGCUCCACUGCUCCUUUUUAGAGAGGAGCUCAAAACAGGGGAAGAGGGGGAGGGAGGGGGAGGGAGGGGGGGGGGGGGAACGGUGAGUAUGACGAGAGAGGAUGUAAAGAGGUUGAGGUUUAAGGACAGGUAAGGGUGGGAGGAUUGGAGUGGAGGGGGUUUCCAGUCCCAUAAAUGAGGCCUGAGCAGACAGGAACAGCUCAGUCUGAGCUCCAGCUGGUCUGGAGUGGAUGUGGAGCUGGUUUCUCCGAUGGCAAUCCGCAUCGUCUUGUAGAGAUCCACUGAAUGACGCCGUUUGGCAAGACAGCCUCGGAGAUGCUUGUACACACUCACUCACACACACCUUUGCCUAUUUCCACUCCAGUGGGGGGCUUUCUCUCUAUUCCUCUUAAAUCGCUUAGAGUCAAUUUUGUUUCAUUUUGUGUUUUUCAUUCAUAGAAAAAGAGACACAAGUGUAGUUCCUUGAGGUCUUUUG